GACCUUCGGGUCUAGUGGCGCACGGGUGCGUAACGCGUGGGAAUCUGCCCUUGGGUUCGGGAUAACAGUUGGAAACGACUGCUAAUACCGGAUGAUGUCUUCGGACCAAAGAUUUAUCGCCCAGGGAUGAGCCCGCGUCGGAUUAGCUAGUUGGUGAGGUAAAGGCUCACCAAGGCGACGAUCCGUAGCUGGUCUGAGAGGAUGAUCAGCCACACUGGGACUGAGACACGGCCCAGACUCCUACGGGAGGCAGCAGUGGGGAAUAUUGGACAAUGGGCGAAAGCCUGAUCCAGCAAUGCCGCGUGAGUGAUGAAGGCCUUAGGG
RNAcentral lists this ribosomal RNA (324 nucleotides) under uncultured bacterium. Its description in RNAcentral is "bacterial SSU rRNA". It matches the Rfam family "Bacterial small subunit ribosomal RNA", at positions 72 to 422 of the family's 1533-position model. The record is from RNAcentral.